UACUGUAUUAUUCCACUGCAUGCAUCCGAUGAAUUGGGUAUUUAACCAUGAAAGCUCAUGCUCCAAUACAUCUGUUAGUCUGUAAGGUGCCACAGGACUCUGCU
Chelonoidis abingdonii (Abingdon island giant tortoise) is the source of this 104-nucleotide non-coding RNA. Lineage: Eukaryota; Metazoa; Chordata; Testudines; Testudinidae. The record is from RefSeq and is a predicted model, not a curated record.